This 29-nucleotide non-coding RNA is filed under the name Rattus norvegicus (Norway rat). Lineage: Eukaryota; Metazoa; Chordata; Mammalia; Rodentia; Muridae. The record is from RNAcentral.
UGCAAAUGCCGAGAGCUGUUUACAAACCU